AACGAACGCUGGCGGCAUGCCUAACACAUGCAAGUCGAACGAGACCUUCGCGUCUAGUGGCGCACGGGUGCGUAACGCGUGGGAACCUGCCCUUAGGUUCGGAAUAACUCCCCGAAAGGGGUGCUAAUACCGGAUAAUGUCUUCGGACCAAAGAUUUAUCGCCUUUGGAUGGGCCCGCGUUGGAUUAGCUAGUUGGUAGGGUAAAAGCCUACCAAGGCGACGAUCCAUAGCUGGUCUGAGAGGAUGAUCAGCCACACUGGGACUGAGACACGGCCCAGACUCCUACGGGAGGCAGCAGUGGGGAAUAUUGGAAAAUGGGCGAAAGCCUGAUCCAGCAAUGCCGCGUGAGUGAUGAAGGCCUUAGGGUUGUAAAGCUCUUUUACCCGGGAUGAUAAUGACAGUACCGGGAGAAUAAGCUCCGGCUAACUCCGUG
RNAcentral lists this ribosomal RNA (433 nucleotides) under uncultured bacterium. RNAcentral's name for it is "partial 16S ribosomal RNA". It matches the Rfam family "Bacterial small subunit ribosomal RNA", at positions 29 to 507 of the family's 1533-position model. The record is from RNAcentral.